GUACUCCAUUAAUUAUAGGCAUCCAGUAGUUCAUUUAGUAGUUUCAAAUAGAAGUGCUCAGAGAUUAGAUACGUACCAAUGGAUGGUGAUGUUGUACCCAGCAUGGUUGUGAACACUAACGAUAACUGUGUCACCCUUGCGGGCUUCGAUGGUUGGCCCUGGGAACUGGCCGUUCACCGUCAGGAUAUUCUUGGUGUGACAGAGCCGAGUGUAAGGAGUUUCUUCUAUCUGCAGCAAUUGGGUAAUCAUCAUAAACUAUGGAAAACCGACUCAAACUUAUGCGAUAUUUGCUUGCAGGCAAAUGUGAAAUUGAAAUUCUGUAUAGGAGAAUGGAAGCGCGUGCUAAUUUGGUUACUAAUUCCAUGGGGAAAUUUUUCACAAGACACAGAAAAAAAUCUUGAGAUAUGUCGCUUGAUAAGGAAUUCCAGUCCACGUCC
Molecule: long non-coding RNA, 437 nt
Filed under: Elaeis guineensis (African oil palm)
Lineage: Eukaryota; Viridiplantae; Streptophyta; Magnoliopsida; Arecales; Arecaceae
Description: long non-coding RNA (EGUI_LNC026446)
Source: RNAcentral